AUGACAUGCUCUGGACUAUGUUGAUAGUGCCAUACUAGUGAAAAGAUUAUAAUGCUAUGUGAUUUAGCUUUACCCUUACAUGUUUACAAUCUAGUGAUUACUAGCUCUUGUUACUAUUGUGUAUUGAAAUUCCGAUCAGAGGAUCGAGGGUAAGAACUUUGCAAUGAAAUUAUGAAAAUUGUGACAUGUGGAUAUUGGAUAUUGUUUGCUUGCCAUCGUGCUCAUUCGCACACGCUUGUGAGGGUAGCUCCCUACAAGCCGGCACUCCGGAGUUGGCCUAUGCGACAGUUGCUCGCCCGUGCGGGAUUGGGUGCCGAAGUGGAUUGCCGUGGGGAGUGUAUACUACCACGGGGCCAUUAGGCGCGGCGCAAGCUGGACUACCUUGGGUAGGUCCCUGUGAAUGAAAGGAAAGUACUAAAUGAAAAAGGACAGUAAUGAAUGUUUAUUACUUAAAGUGUACAGUAGUCACUUUUAUAUUCGUGCUUAUACUCAUGUCUAUGUUCAUGAUUACAGAAGUUGCUAUAUCUCUUUUAUGCAAAUGGUUCAUUACUGUAGAAAGCUAUUACAUGAUGAUUACAUGCUUAUUACUUAUUAGCAACAUGCUUAUAAAUCAUGCAAUUAUUGUUAUUGCUUUCAUUUAGUACAUCUUGAGCCUAGUGGUGUAAUUCGCCGAGGCUGGCGGCUUACCCACUGGGAACUAUUGUUAAUAGUUCUCACGCCCUUUUGGUGGUUGUUUUUACAGAGCCUGUUACAGGAGAGGCUAGGGAUCGUGGCAAGGGAGUCGCGCCUAGCUAGGGACUACUAGGAGCGUGCUAGUCGAUCACCUUGCUACUCGGGCUACGGCCGAGGGUGAUGUCCCUAUGUAUAGAGAGACCACCGUUGUACCUAUUCUUUUUGUAUACCCAUGAUGUAUAUUUUACUUUUAGGGUUGAGAUUAGUGGGGUUACUUCUCCUUUUGUUGAGAUCUUGGAUUGUAUACUCUUUGUAUUUUGACUUGGAUUUGAUACUCGUUGUAUAUCGACUUGUACUUUGCUCUGAUAUCAGGAUAGGACUUCUUGUUUUACUUCCUAUCGACUUGCUUCUUGUAGACGCCUUAUAUACUGCAGGUGUAUGGCGGGUCUGUGCACGUGCCGGAUAUGCUUCCGCUGGUAUCCGGGCGUGACAGAUUAUAGUGGUAUCAGAGCCUAGGGUUGAGUCUUAGUAGACCUAGCAAACCUUAGGCUGGUUGGACUAUAAGAAUAGGCACGUGAGAGACGAUGUCUAGUCUAGGUUGUUGUUAGCGAAAGUGCUUUGAUUGGGUACUUAUAAACUCCGAAUAGUAGGAGUUUGACUGGGAUGUGCAAGUACUAACUUUGCAGAGGGUCACGUUGGCGGCCGACAACGUGACAUCGGAAGUUAGUACGCGUUACAUUUCAUUACUUUCGCUUGAUUAGCCGGUUUAUAUUCUUAAUGAGGAUUCAAUAGUAUAGGGUUUAUUGACCUAUGUUUGUUUUUGUAUUGCAGUUCAAGAUGCCUACGACUCGUUCUGGAACCGCCGGGGCGGCUGAGGCAGCCGCUGCGGAAGAAGUUGAGACUUCCGUCACUUCGGGGUCCAGUGAGCUCCAUGAGUUGCAGGAUCAGCUUGCGACAUUGACAGAGUUGGUUACUCAGCAGGCUGCGGCAGCACGACAGCAGAUGGACGCUGCGCGUCGGCAGGAGGACAGGAUGAAGAGGUUAGAGGAUCUGUUACUGCGGCAGACGACCGACAGAGGGAUUCCAGAUUCUGUACCUAUAGCACCAGAGAGGGGCACCACAGUGAGAGUACAGUCACCGGUACCCGACACACCCCCAGUAGCUCCGAGGGUAGAGACCCGACAGGAGACAGUAGUACCACCAUCAGUACCUGUAGCAGCAUCAGGGACUGUGUUACCCGAGAUGGUCGGGGUUGAGGAGCGGGAGCGGAUGAUGGAACGACUGAAUGAAUUCCGUCGCUGCAACCCUCAUGUCUUUGAUGGAGAGAAGGCAGAUCAUUGGGUAGUUGAGAAAUGGUUAAUGCACAUGGAGAAGUUAUUCUAUGACACCUUUGUUGAGGAGCAGUAUCGAGUCUGGUUUGCGACACACCACCUUGAUGGUGAGGCUUACAGGUGGUGGGUGGACAUUCGCGAGGAUCCCCGUGCUGAUUUGUUUGCUAUUACGUGGAACAGAUUCAAGGAACUGUUGUUGACUACUUACUUUCCCCAGAGUGUAAAGAGACAAAUGGAAAGGGAUCUGAGAAACCUGAGACAAGGGGACAGGACAGUGGCAGAGUAUGAGCGAGAGUUCUCUCGAUUACUGCACUGUGUUCCUUUUGUAGUUCGAGAUGAUGAGGACAAGGCUCGCAUAUUUGAGGUGGGUUUGCGACCUGCGAUCUUCAGAUUGGUCCAGGCGUCAAACCUCUCCACUUACCGGGAUGUCGUGAACCGGGCUUUGAUUGUUGAGAAGGGGGCAGAAAUCAUGAAGGAAAGAGAUGUUGUGGAUCGAAGCAAGGGAAAGAGACCAGCAGCUGAGAGCAGUGGUCAGCAGUCCUUCCGGAGACCGCCAAAGUAUCCGAGGAACCAGACGGGCCAGACAGGACAGUCGAGGGGUCGAGGUUCUUCAGCACCCCGUGGAGCACCCGAGCGUCGUCGACCACCGCGUUGUGUUAUCUGUGGUGGGCCUCACGUACCGCCACAGUGUCCACAGCGUGGGGGCCGGUGCUUUCUUUGCGGCCAGGAGGGGCACUUUCGUUCAGAGUGCCCGAGAGGUUCUUUGCCCGCACCCUCGUUAGCGACUACACCUGCAUCGUCAGCUCCGAGCCAGGGGACCCCGACAGCGCCUUAUCAGUCUAGGCGACCACCAGGACAGCGGCAGUCGGAGAGUUCACAGCAGGGUUCGAGUGGGCGGAUGUAUGCCGCCCAGACUGAGGGCGCCACAGCAGCACAGGAGGUCGUAGCAGGUAUUAUUAUGCUUUAUGAUAUUCGUGUUCGUGCAUUAUUUGAUACUGGUGCUUCGCAUUCUUUUAUUGAUCGGCAGUUUGCCGAGUUGCAUAGCAUUUCUUUAGCACCUACUUUGUAUCUGGGACGAGUAAUUGUACCUGACCAUACCCUAGAUGUUCGUGAGUUUUGCCCUCGCUGCCCAGUUAGGGUAGGCGACUGGAUUAUGCCAGUAGAUUUACUAGCACUACACAAACUAGGUGAGUUUGAUGUAGUAUUGGGUAUGGAUUGGUUGACACAGUAUUAUGCUACUAUAGAUUGCACGAACAGAACGGUGACCUUUAGAGAACCGGGUCAACAGGAGUUUGUUUAUAAGGGAUGUCAGAGUUCAUUGUUCGCAUUGACCAUUAGCUCUUCGCGAGCACGACAGUUAAUUCGGAGGGGAUGUGUAGCCUAUUUGGCUAGCAUUUCUGUGAGUGGUGGUGAAGCCAUCAAGAUUGAUGAUAUUCCAGUUGUGCGAGAAUUCGGGGAUGUGUUUCCAGCUGAAUUGCCGGGCAUGCCACCUAAUAGGGAAGUUGAAUUUGUGAUUGAUCUUGUCCCUGGGACUACCCCUAUUUCUAAAGCGCCUUAUAGAAUGGCACCCGCCGAAUUGAAAGAGCUGAAGGCACAGUUACAAGAUCUUUUAGAUAAAGGAUUUAUUCGACCGAGUGUAUCGCCUUGGGGAGCGCCGGUGUUGUUUGUCAAGAAGAAAGAUGGAUCUCUUCGAUUGUGCGUGGAUUAUCGAGAAAUCAACAAGGUCACAAUCAAGAACAAAUAUCCAUUGCCUAGAAUUGAUGACUUAUUUGAUCAGCUGCAAGGAUCGAAGGUGUAUUCCAAGAUUGAUUUGCAAUCUGGUUACCAUCAGCUUAAGAUCAAGCCUGAAGAUGUUUCUAAAACUGCUUUUAGAACACGGUAUGGGCAUUAUGAAUUUACAGUCAUGCCAUUUGGAUUGACUAAUGCGCCAGCAGCCUUUAUGGAUUUAAUGAACCGUGUCUUUAAGCCCUAUUUGGAUAGAUUCGUGGUAGUGUUUAUCGAUGACAUCUUGAUCUAUUCUCGAAGUGACGAGGAACACGAAGAUCAUUUGAGAGUGGUGUUGCAAGUACUCCGAGAAAAGAAACUGUUUGCAAAGCUCAAGAAAUGCGAAUUUUGGCUUCGAAAAGUGGCAUUUCUGGGACAUGUAAUUUCGGAAACUGGGAUAGCUGUGGAUCCACAGAAGAUUGAAGCGAUUAAAGAUUGGCCUAGGCCGACUAGUGUCACAGAGAUUCGGAGUUUCCUUGGAUUGGCGGGAUACUACCGAAGAUUUGUAGAGGGAUUUGCAAAGAUGUCUACUCCUCUCACUCGACUUACACAUAAAGGAGCUAAGUUUCUGUGGAAUGAAGCCUGUGAAAGAAGCUUUCAGGAGCUAAAGGAACGAUUGACUACCGCCCCGAUCUUGGCGCUACCUGUUACCGGAGUGGAUUAUGUGAUUUACAGCGAUGCGUCGCUGAAUGGACUAGGGUGUGUUCUAAUGCAGAAUGGCAGAGUAAUUGCUUAUGCUUCUCGCCAAUUGAAAGAUUAUGAAAAGAACUACCCUACACAUGAUCUUGAGUUAGCAGCUGUAAUAUUUGCUUUAAAGCUUUGGCGCCACUACCUCUACGGUGAGCGUUGCGAGGUUUACACAGAUCAUAAGAGCUUAAAGUAUCUGUUUACUCAGAAAGAAUUAAACUUGCGACAACGUAGAUGGUUAGAGUUGCUCAAGGAUUAUGAUUUGACCAUCCUCUAUCAUCCUGGAAAAGCUAAUGUUGUAGCAGAUGCUCUAAGUCGAAAAUCGACGAAAAAUGUGGCGAUGUCGAUAACAAUGCAACCAUUGUUGGUAAAGGAAAUGGAGCAAUUGAAUUUGGAAGUUGUAGCUCCUGACACACCUUGGAGACUCAUGUCGUUGGUGGUGCAGCCUACCCUGAUCGAUCGAAUUAAAAAAAAACAAAUUCAAGAUGAAUUCUUGCAGAAGAUUCGAGAUAAGAUCACUGUUGAGCAUGAUAGUGAGUUUCACGUUGAUGAUCGGGGAUUAUUAAAGUUCGGUGAUAGGCUCUGUGUACCGGCAGAUUCUGGUAUUAAAGAAGAAAUUCUUGCAGAAGCACAUCGGGCACCGUAUACUGUACACCCUGGGAGUACAAAAAUGUAUAAAGAUUUAAAGUUAACUUACUGGUGGCCUGGAAUGAAAAAGGAAGUUGCGGACUAUGUGGCUAAGUGCUUAACGUGUCAGCAAGUUAAAGCUGAACAUCGACUUCCUGCGGGGAAACUUCAGAGCUUACCCAUACCAGUGUGGAAGUGGGAGAGGAUCACUAUGGAUUUCAUCGUUGGAUUACCUCGCUCACAAGCAGGUCACGAUGCAAUUUGGGUAAUUGUUGAUCGAUUGACUAAAUCUGCCCACUUUAUUCCAAUCCACACGACUUGGUCAGGAGAGAAACUCGCACAAGUGUACCUUGAUGAAAUUGUGCGAUUACAUGGAGUACCCGCCUCUAUUGUUUCUGACCGAGACACCCGAUUCGUUUCACAUUUUUGGAGGAGCUUACAGGAGGCCAUGGGCACCCGACUGGAUUUUAGUACUGCUUUCCACCCCCAGAGUGAUGGGCAGUCUGAGCGUACCAUCCAGACCCUUGAAGAUAUGUUGAGGGCCUGUGUGAUUGAUUACCAGGGCAGUUGGCCACAAUUCUUACCGAUGGCGGAAUUUGCCUAUAAUAACAGCUAUCACGCAAGUAUUCAAAUGGCACCGUUUGAAGCCCUUUAUGGCAGAAAGUGCAGAUCACCCCUUCAUUGGAGCGAAGUGGGAGAAAGGUUAGUUUUGGGUCCAGAUGUACUACAAGAGGCUGAAGUUAAAGUUCGACUUGCGCGAGAACGUCUACUGACAGCUCAAAGUCGACAAAAGAGUUAUGCGGAUAAUCGUCGGCGAGAAUUGGAAUUUCAAGUUGGCGAUCAUGUAUUCCUAAAGGUUUCCCCGACGAAAGGAGUUAAGAGAUUUGGCAUUCGAGGAAAAUUGAGCCCUCGAUUUAUUGGACCCUACGAGGUGUUGGAGCGGAUAGGUCCCGUAGCGUAUCGACUUGCGUUGCCGCCGAAUCUUUCGGGAGUACACAAUGUGUUUCACAUAUCUACGCUUCGGAAAUAUGUUUUUGAUCCAACUCACAUAUUGGAGAGUACUCCAGUGGAUUUACAAGAGGAUUUGAGUUUUGAGGAACAUCCAGUGAGAAUCCUAGCACGGGAAGUAAAACGGCUUCGAAAUCGCGAGAUACCCUACGUGAAAAUCCUUUGGAGUAAUCACGAGGAGCGAGAAGCCACUUGGGAACUGGAGAGUGUAAUGUUAGAGCAUUAUCCCUACCUUUUCUUGACGAAAUCGUGACGUACAUGAUUACAAGUUUCGCGGACGAAACUUCUUUUUAGGAGGGGUGAAUGUAAUACACUGAACUUUUGCAAUUUGCGGAGUUCGAGUAUGUGGAAUGGUGUGUGGAUCACUCCUACAUGUUUUAAAAGGUUAGAACAAGUUUUUGGAUAAGUUAGAGGAUGAUUGGAAUGCUAAAAAUAAGAAAGUGCAUUGAACUGGCGAAAAUCAGCCUUUUCUGCUUGCUGUACCGGUACAGCCGCAAUGGUGUACCGGUACACAGUGGCAAUUCGUGGCAGCUUGGGUAUUUUGGUAAUUUCACAUGCUUAUCCCUAUCUUAUGGACCCAGCUCGACCCCAGGAGCUUUGUGGAUGUUGCUGGAGUGCAGAGAAGUGUUCUACCAUCUCUCUCUCUUUCUCUCUCUAGGGUUUUUCUCUCUCUACAAAGGAUUCGACGAUUUCGCUCGUUUUCGUCGCUUCGCGCGUUCUUCGCUGGUUGCGAGUGUCGCAGCACCUUUGUGCACGUGCAAGAGAGCGUUUUGGAGGGAUUUUCGCAGCCCUGGACCAGUGAGGUGCUGGUUGGAAGCUUGAGAAGGUAAACGACUUGAUUUUUCCGUUAUCGACGUUCUAUUCGUCGAUUUGAGUAGCGAUUUCAGAUUUUUGCUCUUGGCUGUUCUAAACUGAGAAUUCAGCUAUUAUUAAUGAGUUAAUUAGCUGUGAAUUAACCUUCUUAGACCUGGGAUAGGCUACUUUGAAGCUUAAUUGGAAUAUUUAGCCCUUUAUGAAGCUAAAAUCGGAACUUAAUGCACUAAGUUGUGCGAAUUGAUGCAAAGUGGGAUUUUUUCUUCACAGCAGGUCUUCGAGCCUCGUUGAGCUGAACUUGUAUCCUUAGAAGCUGGUCUGGAAGGUAUUCUAACCUGAGGUAAGCAGGGAUUUCAGUUAGAAAACUGAAUUCGCAAGAUUUCGACUAUAUUUGCUAAAAUACGAUGAUUUUGAUGUCGUCUCGAAAUUGUUCGCAGCGAGAGGGUGUUUGACCCUUGGACCGCCUUCGUCUGGUCUUGGAGGACCUUCUGGAAGCUUAACGUGAGGUAUUGAACUAAGCCAAACAGGGAUUUAAGCUAUUCCAAUGUACGAAGUGUAAUUGCGCCGAAAUUGGCCUUUCGAUCGUAAUUUUGAUACGAUAUGUAUGCUUCGUGUUCAGCAGGAUUGCGACCUAGUGGAGCUGAUCCUUGGAACUCCUUGGACUAUUUUGGAGCCUAGUACUAGGUGGGUCGGACCUAACCAGAGCAAGUGAAACUCCUCUAUGUUCUAUAUGUAUUAUAGAAAUGGCUUUAUUGUGUGCUUAUGCGAUUAUUAAAGGGCUCGGAACUCGUCAUCACGACGUUUAUCAUAUGUGAAUGAGCGUUUAUGCAUAAAAGUACUCAUGCAUUCAAGUAUUUUUGUUUUGUUCAGUAGAACAACUAAGAAUUCAGUUUAUUAUGUUUCUAUGAUAUAGAGAACAUAUAUACAUGAAAGUAUUCACAUUUAUAUUCAAUUCAGUUGAAUGUCUUUUGAACAAGUGUAGGAUACACUUUAAAGUAGAGAACAAUGACAUUCUCUUGACUCUAACGUAGAGAAUUAUGACAUGUUCAUGACUAUGUUGAUAUUGCCAUACUAGUGGAUAGACUAUAAUGCCAUGUGAUUUAACAUUACCCUUACAUGUUUACAAUCUAGUGGAUACUAGCUCUUGUUACUAUUUAUGUGUUGAAAUUCCGAUCUGAGGGUCGAGGGUAAGAACUUUACAAUGAAAAUAUGAAAAUUGAGACAUGUGGUCAUUGGACUUUGCUUGCUUGCCAUCGUGCUCAUUCGCACACGCUUGUGAGGGUCGCUCCCUGCAAGCCGGCACUCCGGAGUUGGCCUACGCGACAGUUGCUCGCCCGUGCGGGAUUGGGUGCCGAAGUGGAUUGCCGUGGGGAGUGUAUACUACCACGGGGCCAUUAGGCGCGGCGCAAGCUGGACUACCUUGGGUAGGUCCCUGUGAAUGAAAGGACAGUAAUGAAUGCUUAUUAAUUAAAGUGUACAGUAGUCACUUACAUGUUCGUGCUUAUAUUCAUGUCUAUAUUCAUGAUUACAGAGAUUGCCAUAUCCCUAUUAUGCAAAUGAUUCAUUACUGUAGAAAGCUAUUACAUGUUAUUACAUGUUGAUUACAUGCAUAUUAAUUACUUAGCAAUGGAAAGGUAUGCUCACUAUCUGUGAGCAUUGCAUACUUAUAUAUCAUGCAGUUACUGCUUUUCUUUAUUUCAGUACAUCAUGAGCCUGGUGGUGUAAUUCGCUGAGGCUGGCAGCUUACCCACUGGGAACUAUUGUUAAUAGUUCUCACGCCCUUUUGGUUGUUUUUACAGAGCCAUCUACAGGAGAGGCUAGAGAUCGUGGCAAGGGAGUCGCGUCUAGCUAGACUUUGCUAGGAGCAUGCUAGUCGAUCACCUUGCUACUCGGGCUACGACCGAGGGUGAUGUCCAUUGUAUAGAGUGACUACCAUUGUACAGAUAUUUUUGUAUACCCUGUG
RNAcentral lists this long non-coding RNA (8865 nucleotides) under Ananas comosus (pineapple). RNAcentral's name for it is "long non-coding RNA (ACOM_LNC039837)". Lineage: Eukaryota; Viridiplantae; Streptophyta; Magnoliopsida; Poales; Bromeliaceae. The record is from RNAcentral.